RNAcentral lists this RNase P RNA (334 nucleotides) under Anaerotignum sp. RNAcentral's name for it is "RNase P RNA component class A". It matches the Rfam family "Bacterial RNase P class A". Rfam says of the family: Ribonuclease P (RNase P) is a ubiquitous endoribonuclease, found in archaea, bacteria and eukarya as well as chloroplasts and mitochondria. Its best characterised activity is the generation of mature 5'-ends of tRNAs by cleaving the 5'-leader elements of precursor-tRNAs. The record is from RNAcentral. Lineage: Bacteria; Bacillati; Bacillota; Clostridia; Lachnospirales; Anaerotignaceae.
GGAGUAAGCUGGACAGCCGCGUCCCCUUGGGAUGAGGAAAGUCCGGGCUUCGCAGAGCAAGGGCGCCGGUUAACGGCCGGUAGAGGCGACUCUAAGGAUAGUGCAACAGAAAUAAACCGCCUGCAUCCGCAGGUAAGGGUGGAAAGGUGGGGCAAGAGCCCACCGUCCUGCCGGUAACGGCGGGAGCCAUGUAAACCCCGCCCGAAGCAAGGCUGACAGGAACGCAUGGGGCUGCUCGUCCCGUUCCGAAAAGGCCGCAUGAUGCUGUUGGCGACAACAGACCAAGACAGAUGGCUGUCCACGACAGAACCCGGCUUACAGGCUUGCUCCCAUA